Pelobates cultripes (western spadefoot toad) is the source of this 300-nucleotide non-coding RNA. The record is from the annotation of a GenBank genome assembly. NCBI's taxonomy places the organism in Eukaryota, Metazoa, Chordata, Amphibia, Anura, Pelobatidae.
CUCGUACAGCUGCACAGUUCUGGGCUUGAUUCUGGAUGCUUGCCAAUCUCUGCCACGUGCUUGCUUCUAGACUUCACAUUGUAUCUUGUGCUGCUUUGUUUAUAACACGUGCUUUUGUCUGUUGUAGAAUAUAAUCUUGGAACAGUCUUUGUGAUUUGAAAAUCUCUGUCUUCUGAUAAACACACACAGCUCUUAACACAGCUUUUAACACGGUUCUUUUUUCUGUUUCUGGCUGCACACACUUCUAUUCAACACAAAAAGUAAUUUGAUAUCCGUCCUCUCUCUGCUCAACUCCGCCCC